Molecule: transfer RNA, 67 nt
Filed under: Cryptoperla kawasawai
Lineage: Eukaryota; Metazoa; Arthropoda; Insecta; Plecoptera; Peltoperlidae
Description: tRNA-Asn
Source: RNAcentral
UUAAUUGAAGCCAAAUUAGAGGCCUAUCACUGUUAAUGAUAAAACUGAAUUCAAUAUUCCAAUUAAG